Gorilla gorilla gorilla (western lowland gorilla) is the source of this 71-nucleotide transfer RNA. It matches the Rfam family "tRNA". Rfam says of the family: Transfer RNA (tRNA) molecules are approximately 80 nucleotides in length. Their secondary structure includes four short double-helical elements and three loops (D, anti-codon, and T loops). The record is from Rfam. Lineage: Eukaryota; Metazoa; Chordata; Mammalia; Primates; Hominidae.
GGGGGUGUAGCUCAGUGGUAGGGUGCAUGCUUAGCAUGCAUGAGGCCCUGGGUCAAUCCCCAGCACCUCCA